GCGACCCCAGGACGGGCGUGGCCACCCGCCGAGUUUAAGCAUAUCAAUAAGCGGAGGAGAAG
This 62-nucleotide ribosomal RNA is filed under the name Maxillaria mosenii var. echinochila. RNAcentral describes it as "partial 26S ribosomal RNA". The record is from RNAcentral. RNAcentral also lists the same sequence under 1 other name. Lineage: Eukaryota; Viridiplantae; Streptophyta; Magnoliopsida; Asparagales; Orchidaceae.